RNAcentral lists this ribosomal RNA (301 nucleotides) under uncultured bacterium. Its description in RNAcentral is "partial 16S ribosomal RNA". It matches the Rfam family "Bacterial small subunit ribosomal RNA", at positions 509 to 809 of the family's 1533-position model. The record is from RNAcentral.
CAGUCGCCACGGUAAUACGAAGGGGGCUAGCGUUGCUCGGAAUUACUGGGCGUAAAGGGCGCGUAGGCGGACAGUUCAGUCGGGGGUGAAAGCCCGGGGCUCAACCUCGGAAUUGCCUUCGAUACUGGCUGUCUUGAGUAUGAGAGAGGUGUGUGGAACUCCGAGUGUAGAGGUGAAAUUCGUAGAUAUUCGGAAGAACACCAGUGGCGAAGGCGACACACUGGCUCAUUACUGACGCUGAGGCGCGAAAGCGUGGGGAGCAAACAGGAUUAGAUACCCCCGUAGUCCCUGUCUCUUAUCA